This 822-nucleotide ribosomal RNA is filed under the name uncultured bacterium. Its description in RNAcentral is "bacterial SSU rRNA". It matches the Rfam family "Bacterial small subunit ribosomal RNA", at positions 72 to 921 of the family's 1533-position model. The record is from RNAcentral.
CGAGCUUGCUCGUUAGUGGCGAACGGCUGAGUGACGCGUAGGUGACCUGCCCCGAAGUGGGGGAUAACUGCCCGAAAGGGUGGCUAAUACCGCAUGUGGCGACGCUUUCAUUGGCGUCAUCAAAGCCGCGAGGCGCUUCGGGAGGGGCCUGCGUCCGAUUAGCUCGUUGGUGGGGUAAUGGCUCACCAAGGCGACGAUCGGUAGGUGGUCUGAGAGGACGAUCACCCAGACUGGGACUGAGACACGGCCCAGACUCCUACGGGAGGCAGCAGUCGGGAAUUUUGCUCAAUGGGCGAAAGCCUGAAGCAGCAACGCCGCGUGAGGGAUGAAGGCCUUCGGGUUGUAAACCUCUUUUUCCAGGGACGAUAAUGACGGUACCUGAAGAAUAAGUCACGGCUAACUACGUGCCAGCAGCCGCGGUAAUACGUAGGUGACAAGCGUUGUCCGGAUUUACUGGGCGUAAAGAGCGCGCAGGCGGUCGUUCAAGUCGAGUGUGAAAGCCCCCGGCUCAACUGGGGAGGGUCAUUCGAUACUGAUCGACUCGAAGGCAGGAGAGGGAAGCGGAAUUCCCGGUGUAGUGGUGAAAUGCGUAGAUAUCGGGAGGAACACCAGUGGCGAAGGCGGCUUCCUGGCCUGUUCUUGACGCUGAGGCGCGAAAGCUAGGGGAGCAAACGGGAUUAGAUACCCCGGUAGUCCUAGCCGUAAACGAUGGACACUAGGUGUUGGUGGUAUCAACCCCACCAGUGCCGAAGCUAACGCAUUAAGUGUCCCGCCUGGGGAGUACGGCCGCAAGGCUAAAACUCAAAGGAAUUGACGGGGCCC